Molecule: ribosomal RNA, 449 nt
Filed under: uncultured bacterium
Lineage: Bacteria
Description: partial 16S ribosomal RNA
Rfam family: Bacterial small subunit ribosomal RNA
Source: RNAcentral
GUCGAGAAUCUUUCACAAUGGGGGCAACCCUGAUGGAGCGACGCCGCGUGGAGGAUAAGGUCUUCGGAUUAUAAACUCCUGUCAUGCGUGAACAAGGUUGCUUGGUUAAUACCUGGGCAAAUUGAUGGUAACGCAAGAGGAAGAGACGGCUAACUCUGUGCCAGCAGCCGCGGUAAUACAGAGGUCUCAAGCGUUGUUCGGAAUCACUGGGCGUAAAGGGUGCGUAGGUGGCGUGGUAAGUCAGAUGUGAAAGCCCGGGGCUCAACCUCGGAACUGCAUCCGAUACUGCCAUGCUAGAGUACUGGAGAGGUGACUAGAAUUCUCGGUGUAGCAGUGAAAUGCGUAGAUAUCGAGAGGAAUACCAAAGGCGUAGGCAGGUCACUGGACAGUUACUGACACUGAGGCACGAAGGCCAGGGGAGCGAACGGGAUUAGAUACCCGUGUAGUCC